AUGACAGUUGGUGAGUUAGUUAUAGAUUGUUUGGGUGGAGGUUGUCAUGUCAUGAUGAAGGUGAUAUUGCAGGCCUGGUGCAUAAUUAACGGUUGGUUAAUACAAGAAGCCAUCCCAGGGCAGCGAUGCGUAUUAAUUCCUUUAUGUUAUGCAGGUCUGAGCAUGGUGCACGAGAUGCUUAUGGCUUACAGGCAGGUCCAUCUGUUAGUUGACCCUCAGAGCUUUAAGUAG
This is a non-coding RNA of Vicia faba (fava bean), 231 nucleotides long. NCBI's taxonomy places the organism in Eukaryota, Viridiplantae, Streptophyta, Magnoliopsida, Fabales, Fabaceae. The record is from the annotation of a GenBank genome assembly.